RNAcentral lists this transfer RNA (85 nucleotides) under Acinetobacter baumannii. RNAcentral describes it as "tRNA-Leu". It matches the Rfam family "tRNA". Rfam says of the family: Transfer RNA (tRNA) molecules are approximately 80 nucleotides in length. Their secondary structure includes four short double-helical elements and three loops (D, anti-codon, and T loops). Lineage: Bacteria; Pseudomonadati; Pseudomonadota; Gammaproteobacteria; Moraxellales; Moraxellaceae. The record is from RNAcentral.
GGGGGCGUGGCGAAAUUGGUAGACGCACUGGAUUUAGGUUCCAGCGCCGCAAGGUGUAAGAGUUCGAGUCUCUUCUCCCCCACCA